GCGACCCGUGGCCGGCGCGGCGACGGCGUUCGCCGCGUCGGCUGACUCGUCGUUCCGCUCGGCGCGGGCUGCUC
RNAcentral lists this transfer RNA (74 nucleotides) under Actinocatenispora sera. Its description in RNAcentral is "tRNA-Ala". Lineage: Bacteria; Bacillati; Actinomycetota; Actinomycetes; Micromonosporales; Micromonosporaceae. The record is from RNAcentral.